This is a non-coding RNA of Danio rerio (zebrafish), 71 nucleotides long. The record is from Rfam. NCBI's taxonomy places the organism in Eukaryota, Metazoa, Chordata, Actinopteri, Cypriniformes, Danionidae.
GCAUUGGUGGUUCAGUGGUAGAAUUCUCACCUGCCAUGCGGGAGGUCCAGGUGCUAUUCCUGGCCAAUGCA